GACGGGGGGGUCCAAGCGUUGUUCGGAAUCAUUGGGCGUAAAGCGUGUGCAGGUGGCUUUGUAAGUUAGAUGUGAAAGCCUCGGGCUUAACCCGAGAAGUGCAUUUAAAACUACAGAGCUUGAGUAAGGAAGAGGGUCGUGGAAUUCCAGGUGUAGUGGUGAAAUACGUAGAUAUCUGGAGGAACACCGGUGGCGAAGGCGGCGGACCUGGUCCUAUACUGACACUCAUACACGAAAGCGUGGGAUCGAACAAGG
This 255-nucleotide ribosomal RNA is filed under the name uncultured bacterium. Its description in RNAcentral is "partial 16S ribosomal RNA". It matches the Rfam family "Bacterial small subunit ribosomal RNA", at positions 524 to 777 of the family's 1533-position model. The record is from RNAcentral.